UAGUUUCUUGGAGCGAGCCGCAAA
RNAcentral lists this non-coding RNA (24 nucleotides) under Drosophila melanogaster (fruit fly). Lineage: Eukaryota; Metazoa; Arthropoda; Insecta; Diptera; Drosophilidae. The record is from RNAcentral.